GAACGCUUUGCGGGAUUUCGGUCGCGCAAGGAGUGGCGCACGAGUGAGUAGCGCGUGGGAACCUGCCCUGUUGUGGGGGAUAACCGAGGGAAACUUCGGCUAAUACCGCAUGAGCCCCCGGAUCAAAAGUCCGGGGGGAAAGAUUGAUCGCGACAGGAGGGGCCCGCGUCGGAUUAGGUAGUUGGUGGGGUAACGGCCUACCAAGCCUUUGAUCCGUAGCUGGUCUGAGAGGAUGAUCAGCCACACUGGGACUGAGACACGGCCCAGACUCCUACGGGAGGCAGCAGUGGGGAAUAUUGGACAAUGGGGGCAACCCUGAUCCAGCAAUGCCGCGUGAGUGAUGAAGGCCUUCGGGUUGUAAAGCUCUUUCGCCCGCGACGAUGAUGACGGUAGCGGGAGAAGAAGCCCCGGCUAACUUCGUGCCAGCAGCCGCGGUAAUAC
RNAcentral lists this ribosomal RNA (441 nucleotides) under uncultured forest soil bacterium. RNAcentral's name for it is "bacterial SSU rRNA". It matches the Rfam family "Bacterial small subunit ribosomal RNA", at positions 64 to 526 of the family's 1533-position model. The record is from RNAcentral.